UUCCGGUUGAUCCUGCCAGAGGUUACUGCUAUCGAGGUUCGACUAAGCCAUGCGAGUCGAAUGUAGCAAUACAUGGCGUACUGCUCAGUAACACGUGGACAACCUGCCCUUAGGUUGGGUAUAAACCCGGGAAACUGGGUAUAAUCCCCUAUAAGUCUCGGCUGCUGGAAUGCACCGAGAUUAAAAGCUCCGGCGCCUAAGGAUGGGUCUGCGGCCUAUCAGGUAGUAGUGGGUGUAGCGUACCUACUAGCCUACGACGGGUACGGGUUGUGAGAGCAAGAGCCCGGAGAUGGAUUCUGAGACACGAAUCCAGGCCCUACGGGGUGCAGCAGGCGCGAAAACUUUACAAUGCUGGCAACAGCGAUAAGGGAACCUCGAGUGCCAGGUUACAAAUCUGGCUGUCGAGAUGCCUAAAAAGCAUUUCAUAGCAAGGGCCGGGCAAGACCGGUGCCAGCCGCCGCGGUAACACCGGCGGCUCGAGUGGUAACCGUUAUUAUUGGGUCUAAAGGGUCUGUAGCCGGCCGGAUAAGUCUCCUGAGAAAUCUGGCAGCUCAACUGUCAGGCUUUCGGGAGAUACUGUCUGGCUCGAGGCCGGGAGAGAUGAGAGGUACUUCAGGGGUAGGGGUGAAAUCUUGUAAUCCUUGAAGGACCACCAGUGGCGAAGGCGUCUCACCAGAACGGACCUGACGGCAAGGGACGAAAGCUAGGGGCACGAACCGGAUUAGAUACCCGGGUAGUCCUAGCCGUAAACGAUACUCGCUAGGUGUCGGCCACGGUGCGACCGUUGUCGGUGCCGUAGGGAAGCCGUGAAGCGAGCCACCUGGGAAGUACGGCCGCAAGGCUGAAACUUAAAGGAAUUGGCGGGA
Molecule: ribosomal RNA, 866 nt
Filed under: uncultured Methanosaeta sp.
Lineage: Archaea; Methanobacteriati; Methanobacteriota; Methanomicrobia; Methanotrichales; Methanotrichaceae
Description: bacterial SSU rRNA
Rfam family: Archaeal small subunit ribosomal RNA
Source: RNAcentral